Cloeon dipterum is the source of this 1001-nucleotide long non-coding RNA. RefSeq lists it as uncharacterized. NCBI's taxonomy places the organism in Eukaryota, Metazoa, Arthropoda, Insecta, Ephemeroptera, Baetidae. The record is from RefSeq and is a predicted model, not a curated record. The transcript has 3 exons.
UUUCUCUGCGGAGACCUUAACGCACUACCUCGCGCUCUUCUCGUGCUGCCGGUGCAUAAAUAUUUAGUGUGCGAUGCCAAACUCAGUGCCCGCGAAAGUUUCAUGGUGCUCGGCUGAAACCGUGUCAAAUUGCCGGCCGGCUUUUUGGCUUCUCACAACGCUUCCAGCUCGCAACCGUUUUGUCACCUUCUUGCGGUCUACAGAGCUCCUCUGGAGCCGUUGCAGCCUCGAUUCCACACAUCUUGAAAAGAUGAUCCUCCUGGCAUGACGUCACUGAUGCAGAUUCAAGGCGCCUGCCGGGUCUGACAGCGAGAUGCUCUCUGUGGCUAUAGGGUGGAAGAAGAUGAUGAUGAACCAGUCACGGCUAAUAGCUUGUGGUGCUCGUAAAGCUUUAGAUGAGACCCGCUACACAAGAUAGACCCAAGCUUUUUCGUCUUGUUCUCCCGACGUAAUGGAAAUUAAAGACAUAAAUCCGGGAAUUUAUCGUAACAAAAUUAGGAACUGAUUUUUUAACUCAAACUUUUUAAAAUUCUAGGUUUCAAGAAAUUGGCACAAAAGGAUUGAAAUAUUCUGGUGACGUGAAAUAGCCUCUCCUAGGCUUUGUCUGUCUUUCUUCAGGAUUCAGACAUAGCCUGUUAGAGAGAGGCAGCUCGUGUCCAAGACUACAUGUCAUCAUCAGGAAAAGGUACCAGAUGGCGCGGUCAGUCACUCGAUUUUGCUCAAGUGCCGUGGAAGGUUCUGCGAAGCGCCACCACGGUCAGAAGAACGCAAUCAGCCUCGCAAUUCGCAAUUCACCGACCGCUGCUGCUUUAUAGCGUACGUGCCGUACACAAAACACUCUGACUGGUCGAUCUUGGGUUCCGCAUUCUUUCGACCACUCCAACUGUGCAAAAAAUUUACUCCGCUCGGUCAAUUUAGGAGCGAAAAUUUUUAUUUGAGGAAACUCAUACGUAAUUUGACAAACGUCAUGUUGUGUUGGUUAAAAUAAAUAUUAUGAAGCA